RNAcentral lists this ribosomal RNA (714 nucleotides) under Triticum aestivum (bread wheat). RNAcentral describes it as "partial small subunit ribosomal RNA". The record is from RNAcentral. Lineage: Eukaryota; Viridiplantae; Streptophyta; Magnoliopsida; Poales; Poaceae.
AUGCGGACCGACGAGGCACAACAAGCGCGUCUCAGCACGGAUGUGUGGCUCCCGUACCAAAAGGUACUACAUAGUGAGAACGACGAGUUGGGGCUCGCGUUUCUCCCUAAGGAGAUUGACGACGCUCUCCUAAGCAUGAGAGCAGACAUGGCUCCGGGGCCGGACGGGUGGCCGGUGGCGAUGUUUAAGCACUUUUGGCCAUUGCUGCGCGAUCCCAUUUACGAGGUGUGUAAUGGCUUCAUGCGUGGCUUCGUGGAUAUUGCUAGGUUUAACUACGGCGUACUAUCGCUAAUCCCAAAAGUGCCAGGGGCGGACAACAUAUGCCAGUACAAACCUAUCGCGCUUAUUAACGUUCCGUUUAAAAUCUGCGCCAAAAGUUGUGCCACUCGGCUCUCGCCGAUCGCCCAUCGCACCAUUAGUCGUGCCCAGUCGGCGUUCAUUCGGGGUAGAAACAUUCUGGAGGGACCACUAGCACUGCAAGAGACCCUUCAUGAGCUUAAGCGCACACACGAACCUGCGAUCCUCCUUAAACUAGACUUUGAGAAGGCCUAUGACCGAGUUAAUUGGGACUUCCUCAGGCAGAUCCUCACCAGUCGAGGAUUCUCGCCGUUAUGGGUGCACCGAGUCAUACAACUGGUCUCGGGGGGCCAAACUGCGGUCUCGGUGAAUGGAGAAGUAGGGCACUUCUUCAGGAACAAGCGUGGCUUACGCCAA